GGAGGGGAUUGAGGAAUUGCUCUCCGCUUUUAGGCGGGGAGAGGAAAGUCCGGACUCCGCAGAACAGGGUGAUGGCUAACGGCCACCGUCCUGACGUUAUGUCGGGAUAGGGAAAGUGCCACAGAAAAAAUACGGCCCAUUUUAACCCUAAAGGUUAAAAGGCAAAGGUGAAAAGGCGCGGUAAAAGCGCACCGCUUUGCUCGUGAGAGCAGAGGCAGGGCAAACCCCACCCGGAGCAAGGUCCAAAAUAAAAGAUUCGUCCCGGCUGAAAGGAACGAAACGGGAUUGUUCGUCCCGUCACUAUUUUUAAGGUUGACCGCUUGACCCCGCAAGUAAUUUCGGGGCUAGAGAAAUAAUUCCUUUAUCCCAUUUUAUCGGGAUAAACAGAAUCCGGCUUACCAAUCCCUUUCUGUU
RNAcentral lists this RNase P RNA (414 nucleotides) under Elusimicrobiota bacterium. Its description in RNAcentral is "Elusimicrobia bacterium (hydrocarbon metagenome) RNase P RNA component class A". It matches the Rfam family "Bacterial RNase P class A". Rfam says of the family: Ribonuclease P (RNase P) is a ubiquitous endoribonuclease, found in archaea, bacteria and eukarya as well as chloroplasts and mitochondria. Its best characterised activity is the generation of mature 5'-ends of tRNAs by cleaving the 5'-leader elements of precursor-tRNAs. Cellular RNase Ps are ribonucleoproteins. The record is from RNAcentral. Lineage: Bacteria; Pseudomonadati; Elusimicrobiota.